RNAcentral lists this ribosomal RNA (448 nucleotides) under Theloderma leporosum (Malaya bug-eyed frog). RNAcentral's name for it is "partial 12S rRNA". It matches the Rfam family "Bacterial small subunit ribosomal RNA", at positions 879 to 1525 of the family's 1533-position model. Lineage: Eukaryota; Metazoa; Chordata; Amphibia; Anura; Rhacophoridae. The record is from RNAcentral.
ACUACGAGCUCAGCUUAAAACCCAAAGGACUUGACGGUGUCCCAUCCUACUAGAGGAGCCUGUUCUACAACCGAUAAUCCACGUUACACCUAACCAUUUUUUGCUUUCCAGCCUGUAUACCUCCGUCGCAAGCCUGCCAUGUGAACGCAUAAUAGCUAGCUUAAGGACCCAAAAGCCAACACGUCAGGUCAAGGUGCAGCUCAUAAAAUGGGAAGAGAUGGGCUACAAUUUCUAUCCUAGAACAAACGAAAUUCUACAUGAAACACACUAUGAAGGCGGAUUUAGCAGUAAAUAGGUAAUAGAGAGCCCUAUUAAAUUUGGCCCUGGGACGCGUACAAACCGCCCGUCACCCUCUUCAAUAAUGCCCCACAAUACAUAAACCUCAGCCCACAUCCCAGAAGAGGCAAGUCGAAACAUGGUAAGUGUACUGGAAAGUGCACUUGGAAAA